Molecule: RNA transcript, 1794 nt
Organism: Gossypium raimondii (Peruvian cotton)
Lineage: Eukaryota; Viridiplantae; Streptophyta; Magnoliopsida; Malvales; Malvaceae
Gene name: protein PSK SIMULATOR 1-like
Exons: 6
Source: RefSeq, a predicted model, not a curated record
UCUUUUUCCCUUUUAAUCUCAAAAUUCCAUGAGUUCUUUUGCCCCAACCUCUAGUAAUACCGUUCAAAUCCCUAAACCUUUUCUUUUUCUCUCCAUGAGGUUUACAAUUUAGUUUUUAAGCUUUGUGGGGUUCUGUUUGUUGUUGUUCUUUAUUCCAUUUUUUUGUGUGUGUUUUUGCAGGGAAUGGAAGAAAAUUACAGGAGGUUGAAGGAGAUAAACAAGAAGUUGAGAAGGGAGAUUUAAUGGAAAUUAUAUCCCUUUCCCAACUAUGAAUUUGUUAUUAUUUUGUUUCAUUUUAUUGGUUGAUUAGAAUGUGGGAGAUAAAGGACAACGACGCCUACGAGGAAGAGCUUCUCGACUACGAAGAAGAUGAUGAAAAAGCCCCUGACUCUGCCUCCAUUAAGGCUGCUGAUUCUGCUAAGAAGAGGUAUGUUAGAAUUCACAGUUCGGGAUUCAGAGACUUUCUGCUGAAACCAGAGCUGCUUCGAUCUAUUGUGGAUUCUGGUUUUGAACAUCCUUCCGAAGGCAAAGUUUUAAACUCAUGUCUGAUGUUAACAUUCGUGAAUUCCGUGAAUUAAGUCAUUUUUGUUUUUCUUGCUUUUAGUGAUUUAUAAUGGUGGGCAGUAUACAAGUUUGGUGCUUUAUUAUUUUGAUUUACUGUUUUGGAUGAAGCAUUUGUUGUUACAGGAUAUGCUUUGUAGUAAUCUUUGAAAUACUUUGCCUUGAAAUUAUAUUUUUUUCAACUUAAUUUAUCUAGGCACGAAAGUCUUCAAAAUUAUCAUAGCUUUUCUUUUCUGUUGAUUCAAACUGUUUAUUUAAACUCUUUUUUUUUUUGUUUAUAUAUAUAUAUAUACAUACUGUUUUUAAUAAAAAAUUUUAAUAAUUCAUUCAUUCUAAGUUAAUUGGACUUGCUUACGGCUGAACAUACAGUUUAUAUAUGAAUAUGCUUCAUCUGCAUUGCCUGAUUCACUUGAUCUGGUUUGGUUGUUCUUUGAUUCUGAUUCACGAUUGUUGAAACAAUCGAUUUGUUGCUUUGAAAAUGAUUUUGUUGCUAUACAGUUUGUUAAUAUCCUCUCUAAUGGUGGUUAAAUUUCAAAUAAUGUGAAAGUUUUGAACAUUUUUUGUUAUCCAUUUCCAAUAGGGAAGAGUUAAAAGUUUUUUCUGGAGAGGUGGUACAUUUUGGCAACCGUUGUAAAGAUCCUCAGUGGCAUAAUUUGGAUCGUUAUUUUGAAAAGUUGGGUUCUGAGCUUACACCUGAGAAACAAUUGAAGGAUGAAGCAGAGGCAAUAAUGCAACAAUUGAUGUCUUAUGUUCAGUAUACAGCUGAAUUAUACCAUGAGUUGCAUGCCUUGGACAGAUUUGAAAAAGAUUAUCGACGGAAGCUUCAGGAAGAGGAUAAUUCAACUGCUGUUCAAAGAGGAGACAGCCUAUUGGACUGUGAUAAAGAACACAUGCCCUAUUUUCGUUUAAGGACCGCCAAGGAAAUUUUGAAACUUAAAGCUGAUUGAUCGAAUGUGUAUGUCGGCUUUCAUCAACUACUUUCGAAGGCCUUACUAGGAAUUGAAAUGGUGUGCAAAGAGAUUGCUUCUUCUGAUCUGAUUUUUCAAUAUAAAUACUGGACAAAGUAUGGAUAUUUCUUGUCAGUUGCAUUUACUGUUGUUAGUAAAAUAGGAUUCUCUUCUUAGGAUCUUAGUUUCUUCACUUGUAUUAGACUCAACAAUGGCUUGCAUUGCAUUGGUGUUGAUUUUACCUAAAUUUUGAGGUUUAUAAUUUAUAAUUUUUAUUAAUUAUUUA